This 71-nucleotide transfer RNA is filed under the name Ornithorhynchus anatinus (platypus). It matches the Rfam family "tRNA". From Rfam's summary of the family: Transfer RNA (tRNA) molecules are approximately 80 nucleotides in length. The record is from Rfam by way of RNAcentral. Lineage: Eukaryota; Metazoa; Chordata; Mammalia; Monotremata; Ornithorhynchidae.
AGCAGUGUAGCUAAGUGGAAAGAACCUGGGCCUGGGACCCAGAGACCUGGGUUCUAAUCCCAGCUCCACUA